RNAcentral lists this ribosomal RNA (1342 nucleotides) under uncultured bacterium. RNAcentral's name for it is "16S ribosomal RNA". It matches the Rfam family "Bacterial small subunit ribosomal RNA", at positions 28 to 1378 of the family's 1533-position model. The record is from RNAcentral.
GACGAACGUUGGCGGCGUGCUUAACACAUGCAAGUCGAACGGAAAGGCCCUGCUUUUGUGGGGUGCUCGAGUGGCGAACGGGUGAGUAACACGUGAGUAACCUGCCCUUGACUUUGGGAUAACUUCAGGAAACUGGGGCUAAUACCGGAUAGGAGCUCCUGCUGCAUGGUGGGGGUUGGAAAGUUUCGGCGGUUGGGGAUGGACUCGCGGCUUAUCAGCUUGUUGGUGGGGUAGUGGCUUACCAAGGCUUUGACGGGUAGCCGGCCUGAGAGGGUGACCGGCCACAUUGGGACUGAGAUACGGCCCAGACUCCUACGGGAGGCAGCAGUGGGGAAUAUUGCACAAUGGGCGGAAGCCUGAUGCAGCAACGCCGCGUGCGGGAUGACGGCCUUCGGGUUGUAAACCGCUUUCGCCUGUGACGAAGCGUGAGUGACGGUAAUGGGUAAAGAAGCACCGGCUAACUACGUGCCAGCAGCCGCGGUGAUACGUAGGGUGCGAGCGUCGUCCGGAUUUAUUGGGCGUAAGGGCUCGUAGGUGGUUGAUCGCGUCGGAAGUGUAAUCUUGGGGCUUAACCCUGAGCGUGCUUUCGAUACGGGUUGACUUGAGGAAGGUAGGGGAGAAUGGAAUUCCUGGUGGAGCGGUGGAAUGCGCAGAUAUCAGGAGGAACACCAGUGGCGAAGGCGGUUCUCUGGGCCUUUCCUGACGCUGAGGAGCGAAAGCGUGGGGAGCGAACAGGCUUAGAUACCCUGGUAGUCCACGCUGUAAACGGUGGGUACUAGGUGUGGGGUCCAUUCCACGGGUUCCGUGCCGUAGCUAACGCUUUAAGUACCCCGCCUGGGGAGUACGGCCGCAAGGCUAAAACUCAAAGGAAUUGACGGGGCCCCGCACAAGCGGCGGAGCAUGCGGAUUAAUUCGAUGCAACGCGUAGAACCUUACCUGGGUUUGACAUGGAUCGGGAGUGCUCAGAGAUGGGUGUGCCUCUUUUGGGGUCGGUUCACAGGUGGUGCAUGGCUGUCGUCAGCUCGUGUCGUGAGAUGUUGGGUUAAGUCCCGCAACGAGCGCAACCCUUGUUCACUGUUGCCAGCACGUUAUGGUGGGGACUCAGUGGAGACCGCCGGGGUCAACUCGGAGGAAGGUGGGGAUGACGUCAAGUCAUCAUGCCCCUUAUGUCCAGGGCUUCACGCAUGCUACAAUGGCUGGUACAGAGAGUGGCGAGCCUGUGAGGGUGAGCGAAUCUCGGAAAGCCGGUCUCAGUUCGGAUUGGGGUCUGCAACUCGACCUCAUGAAGUCGGAGUCGCUAGUAAUCGCAGAUCAGCAACGCUGCGGUGAAUACGUUCCCGGG